UACGUAGGGUGCGAGCGUUAAUCGGAAUUACUGGGCGUAAAGAGUGCGUAGGCGGUUCGUUAUGUCUGUGGUGAAAGCCCUGGGCUCAACCUAGGAAUGGCCAUGGAAACUGGCGGGCUGGAGCAUGGCAGAGGGGGGUGGAAUUCCGCGUGUAGCAGUGAAAUGCGUAGAGAUGCGGAGGAACACCGAUGGCGAAGGCAGCCCCCUGGGCUAAUACUGACGCUCAGCCACGAAAGCAUGGGGAGCGAACGGG
RNAcentral lists this ribosomal RNA (253 nucleotides) under uncultured bacterium. RNAcentral describes it as "partial 16S ribosomal RNA". It matches the Rfam family "Bacterial small subunit ribosomal RNA", at positions 524 to 776 of the family's 1533-position model. The record is from RNAcentral.